Molecule: ribosomal RNA, 111 nt
Organism: Nomascus leucogenys (northern white-cheeked gibbon)
Lineage: Eukaryota; Metazoa; Chordata; Mammalia; Primates; Hylobatidae
Source: Rfam
AUCUAUGGCCAUACCACCCUGGACGCACCUGAUCUUGUCUGAUCUUGGGAGCUAAGCAGGGUCAGGCCCAGUUAAUACUAGGAUGGAGGAAAUAACUUUGCACAACAGUUC